Planococcus citri (citrus mealybug) is the source of this 5387-nucleotide long non-coding RNA. RefSeq lists it as uncharacterized. The record is from RefSeq and is a predicted model, not a curated record. NCBI's taxonomy places the organism in Eukaryota, Metazoa, Arthropoda, Insecta, Hemiptera, Pseudococcidae. The transcript is spliced from 8 exons.
CAAGAAAUAAGAUCGUAAAUUGGUAAAAGCGAGAGAAACAUUUUAUUAUUUUCAAUUUUCGGUUUAAUUCUCGUUAUUUCGUGUUCGCCGGCAGAGUGUCGUUUCGCAAUCGGCGGCAGCGGCGGCGACGACGAUGUUCUCUUUCCUUUUGAGACGAACAAUAGAGCUUGCGACGUCAGACGUCGUGUCUUAUGAUCACCGGUUUCUCUAAGGCACUAUAGCUUUAGUGCCUUAGUUUCUCUAUCUGUUUAGCUAAAUUUUCCUUCUUUUUCAAGUUACUCUUAAUUUUUCGAGAUUGCGAUGGUUUUUUCACUUACAAUUAGGUCUACGUACAUAUAGGUAGUGAAUUUGUUUUUAAUGAAUUACGUCGUACAUCCGGUGUUUGAUAUUGGACUUCCCUGUGAGAAUGUGUUUCCCAAAGAGCCAAGAGAGGAAAAUCUGGAGUAUCUUGAGUACGAUUUUAUUGUGAACGAAUACCACUCUUGAAACCGAAAUGAGAAGAAUUUGAUGACUGACGACUGUUCAUUUCUUAUUCAAGAUGAACGUUGGGCUACCUGGUGCAUUCCUCCAACUUUGAGCAUUUUUGUGAAAGAAAGAAAACGCGAAUAAAUGGAUAUGGAUAUUCGACAUCGCGGAUUUCCGAAUUGAUGUACACAUAAGUAUGUUGGACUACUUGCUACGAAAUGGAAGGAUAUUCGACGUUGAAUUUUUAAAUUGCGUACGCGAGAUAUUUCCCCUCCCUCCGAAGAUGAAUUGGACGCGAUUUUUGGAAUUUCUGCUAGGAUUGGAUUGGAUCGGGUAUUGUCUUGGCAGUUAUAGGCGAAUUAGCGGUCGUCAUUGUCCGUCGGUGAUGGUCACUAAUUGAAGUGCCUCCGCAUGAUUGUGGAUGACGGAUAUGAGCCGGAUGAUUGGUCAACGUGGCGACUUACUCAGAUGGACUUCCUGACACGAAUUGUGCUUCCGUGCUGGUGGAUGCUGAUUUUGUUGCGUAUCCGAGCCGUGGCAAGAUCACCAAAGGUAUUCCACCUGGCCAUUCUCCAAUCCGGUCAGCUUGGGUACGGUUGGAGAGAAAGUCUGCUAUAUAGUCUGUGUUAGUUGGGGUUGAAAUUUAUACGUGGUUUUUCUGUCGAAAAUUUCUGAAUUUUGUCUCGCUUUUUUAUUUUUUAUUUAUUUAUUUUUUUCAAUUCAAUCAUUAUUUUUGGCUUCAUAUUUUCUUACAUUCUUCUCCCGUGUCUCUAUAAAAGGUGUAAACAAUUUUUACGGGUUGGUUUCAAUAUGUAUAAGGCAAGUAUGGCGUGCGAGUUUUCUAUGUAAAUUUCAUUUUUUCCAUUUUUUUAUUUAUUUUUUUUUCAUUAAAGUUGACCCUGUGCAUAACUUAUGUCCAACUUUACCAGAUCGUCUCGGUGGCCCAAGGGAAUUGUCGCCGGCGGGCCUGUGGAGUACUGGUAAUGCAAAAUUACACUUUUUUUUCUGCACAUUCUCUUGAUAUUCGCGAAAAGAUCGCAACUUUCGAGUGGAGGAGUUGCGCAACCGGCUCAUGUCUUGGACGUUAUGGCGUAGCCUCCGCGUGUCCCAUGAGAUCCCACUCCCUCAGCAGCAACAGUCUGGAUAAGCCAACUUUACCGCUUCGCAAUGCCAUUAAUCGGGUUGGCGGUAAUGCAAAAAGCUGCACUUUAGGUUUUUGGACCGCGCGUAAAGAUCGCUACGCUCGAGGGAAGACGUAGCGCAGGUUCUCCUGGACGUACCCGGUAUCGAUACUGGCGCGGGUUCCUUGAGAAAUCCUCUUCCCUCAACCCAUUCACAGUCCUUUGGGUGGGGUACUAUUCUUGUUCAUGAUGAUGCGUGAAGGGGUAAAGUAUGACGGACUUUGCCAAGAUGGAGAUCUAUAAAUACUGAGACUACUGUAUCCUGUUUCGAUUAUGACGACGUCUGAAAAUCUCACCUGAAGAUCUGAUUUUCAUCGAUGAUCUGCAUCUUUCGAUUCGAAUUGAAGCUCGCGAUUGAAAACUGCACCACGGAUCUUGUUAAACAACGAUAUCAUCGAUAUGACCAUCAUGCUACAUUUUUGUUGAAAUUUUCUACACGCAACAAGUGUUCGCGAUGCUGCAUCCGCAGAGAGAGACGGCUGUAAUUCGAUCUUUCGAUUCCAAAGCCCAAAAUACCGAAUUCGCAAGAAUUUCAAUAUGUUUGAUGUAAUGCCGGUAUCUACUCGUUAUUUUACCUCAUCGUUGAAAUGCGCAUUUUUUGGAAGAAAGGAAAGCUGAAUAUUUUCCACCUCAUAUUAUCGAAUUGGAGGCGAAGACAGGCCCUGCAGAUCUAAGAAUGGAAUUCAGCUGCAGACCCUACCGAAACGUGUGAUACAAUCAUCAACUCAUAGUCAGCUCCAGAAUACGAGUACCUAUUCUCCGGCUUCGAACGUGUAACGUCUUAUUACGUAUGUAAUUUUUGUGAUCUCAAUAUCUCUCGCCUCCCUCCCGCCCCUCCAGUUUCAAUUUUACGCGAUCAGCUUUCGACAGAACAAUACUAGUGGCGAUUUUAUUCAGCAGAACCAGCAUUUUUUAACCGAGCUUCAAGAAGCACUUUUUUGAUGAUAAUAAUGCAAUGUUUGUAAAUGGAACUUGUCGCUCCCCCCUCUCCGUGCAUCGCAGCACUUGGUACACGUACAAUAGACGCAUAACAGCGAUGAAUAAUUUUUUGAGAAGUGCAUGUAGACAAACUAUAGCUCGGAGAAUGAUAUUCUUACACGCAAUUUUCAUGCUGUGCGAAUUUUUUGAAUGGUUAUAUGCUCAAUGCUCAUACUUACGCGUACGAAUUUGUGAAUAUGAUUGUGCGCUCAACUAUACCUGAUAUUUGAUGAUUGAAAUGAUUCGAUUGGAAAAGCUGUAUGGUUAUUCCCUGAAAAUGGAAUACGUAGUUUCAUAUUAUUGAGAACUUGCACGAACGUUCGCUGAUUUGUUUACAUCGAUUUGCGCAGAUAUUCAACGUUUGUUUUUUCAAUCGAUGGAAGAAUAUUGUCGAUGUAUUGGAAUUUCUUAGAGCUCGACGUACGAUACGAGUAGAUAUUUUUACGCUUUAUUUAGGUAGUUUAUGGCGCAAGGCUGACUCGCGACAACACUCAUCGCAGUACCGGAACUUUUUUUCUGAUUCGAAAACGAUGAUUUUCUUUGAUUUGGUCCCCCCCCUCCUAUUCAUUAUCUUGGCUCGAAAAAUGAUGAUAUUUUUGAGGAAAUUGAUGUAGGGAAUGAUGCUGAGGGCAUUCCUGUGAAAGUUUGAUGAAUUAGGUGAUGCUUUUGUCUAUUUUUUUCUGAGUGGAGUAGUUAGAUUUUUUUUGAAGGCUUCUCUCUUCAUUAAGAUUAUAUGGGUGAAUAGGGAUGCUAUUUUAGGAUAGGUACACAACGAUAUUCGUUUCGAACAAUUAUUAUUUGUGGCUUUAGUUUUUUGACUUUGAUCAAACCAGUUAUAUUUUGAUUUUUUAUUUUUUUUAUUUUUUUGAAAAUUGGAUAGGCAUUUGAUGAUUUUGGAUUCAAAAUUGGGAAAAUGUUGAAUGGUUUGACUAUUUUCAAAAUUCAUUGUAGGUAUAAGUUGAGCGCCGAUGUUGGUAUCUGGUCAACCUGGAGACCUCACAACAUCGGAAGAGACCCGGAGGGUUUUGCGAUGCCUACUGCGACCGCCCCCGGCAUCCGGGACUCCAUGACGGCAUGGUAGGGUCGCAUUAAACGAAGGGUAAAGAGGGAUGGUAGAUGUUACACGUUUAACUGGAUGUCUAACAUUGUUCGAAUCGCAAGUCGAAAGGUCUUUUCAUCGUCGGUGGCGUUCUUUGGUAUCUCGUGUACGACUUUUUCCUUCAAAAACACACUGGCGUGUGAUUUUUGGAGCGAACGAGUCGUAUACGAGUUAUCCGAGGCGUCGUCGGCGAUUUGUGGUGCGUGAAAGUGCGUGUGUCGAAGCUGUAGGGUCUGUCCCAGGCGAUAGCAGGCCGUGAAAACGGAGCAGUUUGGUUAGCAUGCUAAAUUAGUCGCAACCGUAAGCCGAUGUCGGGCUGAACAUUGUGCAAAGUCUUUCGUGUCUGGAAGCUGGCAUCUGCUGCGCCGUGUAGGAGGUGCGUGAUGAAGUGUGCGUGAAGUUGGCGAAGGCUUCAAAAUAGGCAUAUGGGGUAAGAUUCGAGACAAGUCCGCAAGAACGGUACAUUUUGGUACAUAGGGGGCUUGCUCGGCGCCUCAAUAUUGGUACGGGCCAGAGGUUGGUGCGUACGGCCCUCCGAGUCGACAGAGCUCGGACUGCCCUUGUAGCCGUCCUAGGCGAGGUUAGGGUAGAAAUCCGUGCGCCGUCUACUUGCUUACUGCUUCCCGGCGGUACACGUGCCGACCGGGGUUUUUACAGGAUCGGGCUUAUCAAAGAGGAUGUAGGCUGGCGCCUUUCAGGCGGUCUGAUAUCACUUCGUACGAGUGUAACUUUUAUUCCUACGCCGAGGUCAGCGUGUUGUAAAUUUUACACUCGUACGAAGUUAUAACUGACCUGUCUGCGGGGUCAGCUAUGUACCUUGCCUUGAGGAUCAAGUUCAGCCUAUCCCGCAGUGUUGGCGCUUUGGUCGAAUGCCCGUGAAACUCAUGAAGCAUUCAACAGCACUGCCCGUGGUGAGUGUAGGGAAUUUGAGAUACUGUUCCGGAGAGUUGGGCCCGACAAAGGGUUCGAUUGUCUGGACUGUUGAGAGUGCGAGAAGAGCGAGUGUCGAUCUGGAUUUUUAUGCUUUGUUAGAAUCUAGUUAAACGUGUAGUGUCUUUCCGUCAUCGUAUUGGUGGAGAAAUAAUCAAAAAUUGGUGUAUUAAAACGAUUAGCAUCGAACUUUCUGCAGGAAUGUGUUUUAGUCAUCAUUGGUCGGAUGGGAGAUGACUGGGGUUCGAUUUUGGUACUGAGUUAAGAGUCAGGUACAGGUGAGUCGUUACUGUGUUACGUAUUAUGAGUUAGUUUAUAUACCAGUUGAUUCAGGUGAGUGGUUAUUUUAUUACUUAUUGAUUAAGAUUAGUUUAUUUGCGUCAAAUUUGAGAAAUGAGACAAGUGACGAGCGAAAUUGUAGAGCAUUGACGCUGUUUCACGAUGAAAUUUGUCGAGAAAUUGAAAUUAGGACCCCCCCCCCUUGCCCCUUUAGUUUUAAUGUACGUAUAUCAUGUUUAUAUUGUAUCAUUUCUGUUUGUUUGUUUGUGUUUUUUUUUUGAAAAUUGUAUCAUAUUACUUGUUAUUAUUAAACUCGUGUAUUUUUGUAAUGACCAAUCACGGUUUUUCACUGUCGAGCGGCCGGCAGUGUUUUUUAUUCCAGAUUGGUCAACGUGUUGUAGAAUUAAGUUUGUAUUGAUUUCUUUGCCGUUGAAAAAUUGAAACGAUUUUCGUUU